RNAcentral lists this microRNA precursor (196 nucleotides) under Oryza brachyantha (malo sina). Its description in RNAcentral is "MIR812 microRNA precursor family". It matches the Rfam family "MIR812 microRNA precursor family". The record is from Rfam by way of RNAcentral. Lineage: Eukaryota; Viridiplantae; Streptophyta; Magnoliopsida; Poales; Poaceae.
AUUAAACUAAUUUUUCACUUUUUACCUAGAAUUUUUGACUCUUCGUCUUAUUUAAAAAAAUUUUGCGAUAGAUAUUUUUGUUUUUAUUAGAUGAUAAAUCGUGAAUGGUAUUUUACGUGUGACUAAUUUUUUUUCUAAUUUUUUGAAAAUUUUUCAAAUAAGACGGAUGGUCAAACAUCAGACACGGAAACUGAAG